This 32-nucleotide non-coding RNA is filed under the name Mus musculus (house mouse). The record is from RNAcentral. Lineage: Eukaryota; Metazoa; Chordata; Mammalia; Rodentia; Muridae.
UGUUGAUGAACUAAAGCUUAUUAUAUUAGACC